GAAAUGCGAUAAGUAGUGUGAAUUGCAGAAUUCAGUGAAUCAUCGAAUCUUUGAACGCACAUUGCGCCCUUUGGUAUUCCUUAGGGCAUGCCUGUUCGAGCGUCAUCUAAACCUUCAAGCCCUGCUUGGUGUUGGGUGCCUGUCCCGCCUCCGCGCGCGGACUCACCUCAAAUCCAUUGGCGGCCCCCGCGUCGGCCACGAGCGCAGCAGAAACGCGAACUCGUGAGCCCGUCCGGGCGGCUCCCAGAAGCUACACCCACCCAGUUUGACCUCGGAUCGGGUAGGGAUACCCGCUGAACUUAAGC
Molecule: unclassified non-coding RNA, 305 nt
Filed under: plant metagenome
Description: partial contains 5.8S ribosomal RNA, internal transcribed spacer 2, and large subunit ribosomal RNA
Rfam family: 5.8S ribosomal RNA (bases 1-105)
Source: RNAcentral